Molecule: ribosomal RNA, 679 nt
Filed under: Pseudomonas sp. EECC-396
Lineage: Bacteria; Pseudomonadati; Pseudomonadota; Gammaproteobacteria; Pseudomonadales; Pseudomonadaceae
Description: bacterial SSU rRNA
Rfam family: Bacterial small subunit ribosomal RNA
Source: RNAcentral
CUGGUGGCGAGCGGCGGACGGGUGAGUAAUGCCUAGGAAUCUGCCUGGUAGUGGGGGAUAACGCUCGGAAACGGACGCUAAUACCGCAUACGUCCUACGGGAGAAAGCAGGGGACCUUCGGGCCUUGCGCUAUCAGAUGAGCCUAGGUCGGAUUAGCUAGUUGGUGAGGUAAUGGCUCACCAAGGCGACGAUCCGUAACUGGUCUGAGAGGAUGAUCAGUCACACUGGAACUGAGACACGGUCCAGACUCCUACGGGAGGCAGCAGUGGGGAAUAUUGGACAAUGGGCGAAAGCCUGAUCCAGCCAUGCCGCGUGUGUGAAGAAGGUCUUCGGAUUGUAAAGCACUUUAAGUUGGGAGGAAGGGCAUUUACCUAAUACGUAAGUGUUUUGACGUUACCGACAGAAUAAGCACCGGCUAACUCUGUGCCAGCAGCCGCGGUAAUACAGAGGGUGCAAGCGUUAAUCGGAAUUACUGGGCGUAAAGCGCGCGUAGGUGGUUUGUUAAGUUGAAUGUGAAAUCCCCGGGCUCAACCUGGGAACUGCAUCCAAAACUGGCAAGCUAGAGUAUGGUAGAGGGUGGUGGAAUUUCCUGUGUAGCGGUGAAAUGCGUAGAUAUAGGAAGGAACACCAGUGGCGAAGGCGACCACCUGGACUGAUACUGACACUGAGGUGCGAAAGC